Clupea harengus (Atlantic herring) is the source of this 511-nucleotide long non-coding RNA. RefSeq lists it as uncharacterized. The record is from RefSeq and is a predicted model, not a curated record. Lineage: Eukaryota; Metazoa; Chordata; Actinopteri; Clupeiformes; Clupeidae. The transcript is spliced from 2 exons.
ACUCAUGGAACGUCUCUCGUCCAAUCAGAAACAGCUAAAUAAUUCGAUAGAACCCAAUUGUUUUAUAAUUGGGGUAUAAUUGGGGUCAUGGGAGCUAUGUCCUACUAGAUGAGGUACUGUAUAAACUGAUCUAUCAUCAGUUUAGCCCUUAAAAAUCAUCAUGAGGGUUCAGAUAUAUAGAUAAUCAGGACCAGAAGAAUUUUGCGCAAGGGUUGAAACCUGUUUGAACUGUGAAGACAUUCAUGUCAUGUCAUGAGAAACUAUCUUCUAGUUCUGUGGAAGGGCUUGGCUUAGAGAUGUUAAUUUCUUCAUGGCUGAACAUAAAUGAGGGCAAAUGCAAGAAACCAAACCCAAGAUAAAAAUGUAUCCUAAGAAUGUAAUGAUUUAUAAAGAGAUUCUGGAGAAAGGUACAAGCCUCGGGCAAAAAGGCAAUACUACUAUUCAAGUCAAUAAUGAUAUCCAAUAAUAUGGUAUCAAAGUAAAAUUGUAAAAAAAGUUUAAAAAAAAAAAA